This 149-nucleotide ribosomal RNA is filed under the name uncultured bacterium. Its description in RNAcentral is "partial 16S ribosomal RNA". It matches the Rfam family "Bacterial small subunit ribosomal RNA", at positions 355 to 508 of the family's 1533-position model. The record is from RNAcentral.
UUAAGAAUCUUGCUCAAUGGGGGAAACCCUGAAGCAGCGACGCCGCGUGAACGAUGAAGGUCUUCGGAUUGUAAAGUUCAAUAAGUGGGAAAAAAUAAGCCCGUAAGGGUGAUGAUGGUACCCAUCUAAAGCACCGGCUAACUACGUGC